GCAUAUCAUAAGCGGAGGAAAAGGAAAUAACAAGGAUUCCCCUAGUAACUGCGAGUGAAGCGGGAAAAGCUCAAAUUUAAAAUCUGGCGGUCUUUGGCCGUCCGAGUUGUAGUCUGGAGAAGUGCUUUCCGCGCUGGACCGUGUAUAAGUCUCUUGGAACAGAGCGUCAUAGAGGGUGAGAAUCCCGUCUUUGACACGGACUACCAGUGCUUUGUGAUGCGCUCUCAAAGAGUCGAGUUGUUUGGGAAUGCAGCUCAAAAUGGGUGGUGAAUUCCAUCUAAAGCUAAAUAUUGGCGAGAGACCGAUAGCGAACAAGUACCGUGAGGGAAAGAUGAAAAGCACUUUGGAAAGAGAGUUAAACAGUACGUGAAAUUGCUGAAAGGGAAACGCUUGAAGUCAGUCGCGUUGUCCGGAACUCAGCCUUGCUUUCGCUUGGUGCACUUUCCGGAUGACGGGUCAGCAUCGAUUUUGACCGUCGGAAAAGGGCUGGAGUAAUGUGGCACCUCCGGGUGUGUUAUAGACUCUGGUCGCAUACGGCGGUUGGGAUCGAGGAACGCAGCGCGCCGCAAGGCAGGGGUUCGCCCACUUUCGCGCUUAGGAUGCUGGCAUAAUGGCUUUAAACGACCCGUCUUGAAACACGGACCAAGGAGUCUAACAUACCUGCGAGUGUUUGGGUGGAAAACCCGAGCGCGUAAUGAAAGUGAAAGUUGAGAUCCCUGUCGUGGGGAGCAUCGACGCCCGGACCUGACGUUCUCUGACGGAUCCGCGGUAGAGCAUGUAUGUUGGGACCCGAAAGAUGGUGAACUAUGCCUGAAUAGGGUGAAGCCAGAGGAAACUCUGGUGGAGGCUCGUAGCGAUUCUGACGUGCAAAUCGAUCGUCAAAUUUGGGUAUAGGGGCGAAAGACUAAUCGAACCAUCUAGUAGCUGGUUCCUGC
This 935-nucleotide ribosomal RNA is filed under the name Ganoderma resinaceum. RNAcentral describes it as "LSU rRNA". It matches the Rfam family "Eukaryotic large subunit ribosomal RNA", at positions 38 to 961 of the family's 3401-position model. Lineage: Eukaryota; Fungi; Basidiomycota; Agaricomycetes; Polyporales; Polyporaceae. The record is from RNAcentral.